Molecule: non-coding RNA, 369 nt
Filed under: Enterococcus dispar ATCC 51266
Lineage: Bacteria; Bacillati; Bacillota; Bacilli; Lactobacillales; Enterococcaceae
Description: cspA thermoregulator
Rfam family: cspA thermoregulator
Source: Rfam by way of RNAcentral
UUGUAGUUAUUGUAAAGGUAAUUAAUGGCAAGCUUGUUUCAUAUUUAAACAUCUUCCACUUUUUCACCGGAUACAAGGAAUUGCACAAAUACGUGUGUUUCACACAAGGAGGAUUUUUAAUAUGCAAACAGGUACAGUUAAAUGGUUCAACGCAGACAAAGGUUUUGGUUUCAUUACAGCAGAAGACGGUAACGAUGUAUUCGUUCACUUUUCAGCUAUCCAAGGCGACGGCUUCAAAACUUUAGAAGAAGGCCAAGCAGUAACAUUUGAUGUUGAAGAAGGUCAACGUGGCCCUCAAGCAACAAACGUUAACAAAGCUUAAUUUAAAUUAAACUUAUAAGCCUGACGAGAUUUCUCGUCAGGCUUUUU